GAAACCUCAUCUUGCUCACACGUCAUUCGGAUGUAAGAGCAGUGUUUUUUAUAAAACACGGACAUUCUCGUCCGGGUGAGGAGAAAGG
The submitters of this non-coding RNA (88 nucleotides) gave its source as unclassified sequences. The record is from Rfam.